GGAAUGUAAAGACAAUCUUUGGUUUUUCCAAUUUCUUUGGUAGUUCAUAUGAGGAAGUAAGUACUAUCUGCUUUUGCAGAGAUCUUUAUUUUAUUCACGUUCCGAAUGUGAAGCACCUUUUUCUUCUCUCAUAUAUCUUCUACUUCUUAUUAGUCACACUUUUACAACGAUUGUAAAACAUAGUUACUAAUACGGAAUCAAGCAUUCAAGUAGGAGAACCAACUGUUUUGAACUUUUCAAGAACAAUUUACAACACCUUCGAAAGGUGUGUUCUUGACACUUGCAAGACAUUUCUUGCAAAUACCCCUUCCAAUGUCCAUCCUUUCAUAAAGAAAGAUUGUUCCCUUGGAGUUAAUUUUAUUUUCUUUAUUUGACUUCUCCUUUGACUACAAUAGUCAUGGUCCCUAAACUCCCACUAUCUCUCUUGAAACUUA
Molecule: long non-coding RNA, 434 nt
Filed under: Malus domestica (apple)
Lineage: Eukaryota; Viridiplantae; Streptophyta; Magnoliopsida; Rosales; Rosaceae
Description: long non-coding RNA (MDOM_LNC015393)
Source: RNAcentral